RNAcentral lists this long non-coding RNA (1787 nucleotides) under Gallus gallus (chicken). RNAcentral describes it as "lncRNA (ENSGALG00010025611.1)". The record is from RNAcentral. Lineage: Eukaryota; Metazoa; Chordata; Aves; Galliformes; Phasianidae.
UUUUCUGGUUUAAGAUUCUUCCUUUGUAGAGUUUUCUCUGCGUGGUUCAAUCUUUAGAGCUAGUUGUGCCCAAUACAUCUUGCACAGAAGAGGGAUUCUCAUCAGUUGUGAGCAGUGCAGUUAUCUUCUGGAUUUGGACAUGAAUCAGAAUGUAAUUGCUUUAAAUUGGUUUGAAGAAUGGUAAGAUCCCCUUUCUGCACCCAAAAAAACCAGGUAAAUAUUACAAAUUAGUCCACAACUGUGAAAGAAAGCUGAGUAGGAUAUUCUGCACAAGGUGGACUGACAAUAAGUACUGAACUAAGAAGACUUCAGGGGAGAGAAGAAAGACAAGAUGUAUACUCAACAGCUGAAAAUAUACCUAAGAGCCUAAAGAAAGGUGAUGCGUUUUGUGGGACAGCUGCAGAAAUGGGACUUUCUGAUCAUGGGAGACGGUUGUUAUUGUGGAACUCAUUCCGAUCAACCGCUGGAGUUUAGUAACCUGUGAGAACCGAGACAGCUUUUGUGUCUUCUGAGAAGCCUACCAAAAAAGUGUUAUGUUGGGCGGGUGGCAGCGCUGCAGGAUUUUGAUCAAAUCCACAUCUCUUGCUGGCUUUCUUAACAUAUGUUACAUUUUAUGUAAUGCAAACCAAGACAGCUUUACGAAACAGAUCAGUUCAGUCCAUCUUCAUAGAUGGAUGCCUUCAGCAGUGUUUGAAUUCAUGACUUAUUUAUUUUUUACUUAUUUUUCAGGGCAGAUUUGAGUAUUAUUGGUGUUAAUUCUGAAUUUCUAAAACCGGUGAUUUGCUAGUGCUGUUCUGUAAUGCCCUACAUUGCCUGUCUUUGCUUAGAAUUUCAUAUCUGAUAUUUUUAAUGUUAAGGUCAAUGUUAUUGAUCCUGUGGAUCUGUUCUUCUGCUGUAUUUUUUCAAGGCACACACACAGAGGGUAACUAAUCUUAAUAUCGUGUGUUUGCAACUCUGUUUAGCAUGAAAUCAGUAACUGACAUAUUAAUUAUAAUAAUCUGUUAAAUAUACUUUACCUACAUGUUAAUUAUAGCAGACCAUUCUCAUUUAUUUCUCUGGGUAGGCUAUUAAUUCAACCCAGAUGGUACAGCUUUUUGAGACUGCAACACUCAGUGUGAACGGAAUAAAUCAUGUUGCCAAGAUACAGGAGCAAAAAUGUUAUCACAUCUGAAUAGGCUUUAAAAUGAUAUAACUAUGAAAAAAUCUUACCUUUUAAUCAGGGAAGAGGCUUAGUUAGAGCAAGGUCAGUAGCCCAGGCCUGUUCUGUAAGGCAGGAAGCACAACCUGGAAGUACAGGAAUUUGUUAUGUGCCAGAUUAUCAGCCAUUUUGGGAUACCUUUCUUUCCUGCCAUAAGUAUGUAACCUGAAGGACACAAUGCAGAAUAACUCUGCCCCUCUAUUAAAACAUAAGAUCAGUUCCUCCUUAUCCCACCUUUCCCCUGUUAGUGUGCUCAAUAGGCAGUUCUCUGCUGGCUAUAAUGAGCAGGAUUUUUGCUUUGUGAAACGCAUUUUAGGUGAAACACUGCUUGAAUAUCUCAUUUAUUCUAAGCCUGCCCUCCUACACACUCAGGCACAGUUCUGCCAGGUUUACUUGUAGUUUAUCUGUCGAUUUUUUUCAUUUUUAUAAAUUCUAAUUGGAUGUAUUAGAGUGGCAUAAGCUGGAUCGCAUUUGUGUAUUUCAAAAUCCCCGGUUUUAUCUUGAUGAAUGAAUCAAGACAAAUCAAAAAAAAAAAAAAAAAAAGAUUGUCACCUUUAUCUUCUUUUUUACCAUCUAGAAUAAAGUUUCU